RNAcentral lists this ribosomal RNA (595 nucleotides) under uncultured bacterium. RNAcentral describes it as "bacterial SSU rRNA". It matches the Rfam family "Bacterial small subunit ribosomal RNA", at positions 338 to 947 of the family's 1533-position model. The record is from RNAcentral.
CCUACGGGAGGCAGCAGUGGGGAAUAUUGCACAAUGGGCGAAAGCCUGAUGCAGCGACGCCGCGUGAGGGAUGACGGCCUUCGGGUUGUAAACCUCUUUCAGCAGGGAAGAAGCGCAAGUGACGGUACCUGCAGAAGAAGCACCGGCUAACUACGUGCCAGCAGCCGCGGUAAUACGUAGGGUGCGAGCGUUGUCCGGAAUUAUUGGGCGUAAAGAGCUCGUAGGCGGUCUGUCACGUCGGAUGUGAAAGCCCGGGGCUUAACCCCGGGUCUGCAUUCGAUACGGGCAGACUAGAGUGUGGUAGGGGAGAUCGGAAUUCCUGGUGUAGCGGUGAAAUGCGCAGAUAUCAGGAGGAACACCGGUGGCGAAGGCGGAUCUCUGGGCCAUUACUGACGCUGAGGAGCGAAAGCGUGGGGAGCGAACAGGAUUAGAUACCCUGGUAGUCCACGCCGUAAACGUUGGGAACUAGGUGUUGGCGACAUUCCACGUCGUCGGUGCCGCAGCUAACGCAUUAAGUUCCCCGCCUGGGAGUCGGCCGCAAGGCAAACUCAAAGGAUUGACGGCUGNGAGUGCGAGGCGACGACGAGGGAGGAGG